GCGUGGAUUAUGCAUGCAAGUCGAACGGGAAGUCCCGACUUCAACUCUUCGGAGGAGAAGACGGGAUGGAGAGUGGCGAAAGGGUGAGUAUCGCGUGGGCAAUCUAGGGCGUGGUGCGGAAUAACCUGGCGAAAGUCGGGCUAAUGCCGCAUGUGGUUUUCCGGCGCCUGUCGGAAGGACUAAAGGCGGGGAUCUUCGGACCUGCCGCUCAGAGAGGAGCCCGCGUCCGAUUAGCUAGUUGGUGAGGUAACGGCUCACCAAGGCGACGAUCGGUAGCCGGCCUGAGAGGGUGACCGGCCACACUGGGACUGAGACACUGCCCAGACUCCUACGGGAGGCUGCAGUCGAGGAUCAUUUGCAAUGCGCGAAAGCGUGACAAUGCGACGCUGCGUGGAGGACGAAGGCCUUCGGGUUGUAAACUCCUGUCAUGCGGGAACAAUACCCCGCCGUUAAUAGCGGCGGGAUUGAUGGUACCGCAAGAGGAAGCGACGGCUAACUUCGUGCCAGCAGCCGCGGUAAUACGAAGGUCGCUAGCGUUGUUCGGAUUUACUGGGCGUAAAGGGUGCGCAGGUGGUGCCGUGUGUCGGACGUGGAAUCCCGGGGCUCAACCCCGGAACUGCAUCCGAAACUGCGGCACUCGAGUACAGGAUGGGAGAGCGGAAUUCAAGGUGUAGCGGUGAAAAUGCGUUGAAUAUCCUUGAGGAACAGCGGUGGCGAAUGCGAGUCUAUGGAAUGUUACUGAGACUUGAGGCACGAAAGCGUAGCGAGCAUACAGGAUUAGAUACCCUGGUAGUUUACGCCGUAAACGUUGCGUACUUGGCGUGGGAGGAAUUACCCCUUCCGUGCCGGAGCUAACGCGUUAAGUACGCCGCCUGGGGAGUACGGCCGCAAGGUUAAAACUCAAAGAAAUUGACGGGGGCCCGCACAAGCGGAGGAGCAUGUGGCUUAAUUCGAUGCAACGCGAAGAACCUUACCAGGGCUUGACAUGGUACUGCACGCCCCGUGAAAGCGGGGAAGCCUUCGAGGGUGUACCACAGGUGCUGCAUGGCUGUCGUCAGUUCGUGCCGUGAGGUGUUUGGCUAAGUCCAGCAACGAACGCAACCCCUAUGUUUAGUUGCCACCGGUGGUGAUGAGCCACCGAGCACUCUAGACAGACUGCCCGUACAAGCGGGAGGAAGGUGGGGAUGACGUCAAGUCAGUAUGGCCCUUACGUCCUGGGCUGCACACGUGCUACAAUGGUCGAUACAGUGGGCUGCAAUACCGCAAGGUGGAGCAAAUCCUCAAAGUCGGCCUCAGUUCGGAUUGGAGUCUGAAAUUCGACUCCAUGAAGUCGGAUUCGCUAGUAAUGCCGUAUCAGCUACGCCGGCGUGAUACGUUCCCGGGCAUUGUACACACCGCCCGUCACAUCAUGAAAGCCGUCUGCACCCGAAGUCGCUGAUCCAACCCGCAAGGGAGGAAGGCGCCGAAGGUGUGG
RNAcentral lists this ribosomal RNA (1474 nucleotides) under uncultured organism. RNAcentral describes it as "bacterial SSU rRNA". It matches the Rfam family "Bacterial small subunit ribosomal RNA". The record is from RNAcentral.